This 672-nucleotide long non-coding RNA is filed under the name Cicer arietinum (chickpea). RNAcentral describes it as "long non-coding RNA (CARI_LNC001409)". Lineage: Eukaryota; Viridiplantae; Streptophyta; Magnoliopsida; Fabales; Fabaceae. The record is from RNAcentral.
AAAAUGGUAGUUGUGGAAGGUGGCUAUCAUAGUAGUGAUCGAUCGUCGAAGUUUGCUGUAGUAGUCAAAAGAGAUAGUUGAUAUUGGAGAUGGUGGUAGGUGGGUGACAAUCGGUGACUGUAGUGAUGGACAGUGUUGGAAGAUGGUGGGUGGUCGGUGGUGGUGAUGGGUGUCGGAGAUGGUGGUAGUUGUGGUUGGAGGUGGGUGAUCGGCGGUGAUGGCGGGUGUCGGAGAUGGUGAUCGGUGGUGGUGCUUAUAGAGGUGGGUGGUAGGUGGUCGAAGAUGGUGUAGCGGUUGUCAAAGGUGGAUGGUGGGUGGUGCUGGCAGUGACCGGAGGUGGGUGGGUGAUGAUGAUGGAGGUGAUUGGGGAGACGAUGGUGGUUGCUGGUGAUGGGAGAUGGUGGUUGGAGGUCACUCGUGGUGAGAGAUGGGCGGCAAGUGGCUGAAAUUAAGUAAAACAACUCAACCCCAUUUUACCAAAUUUUAUUUUGAAAUUAACUUUCAAAACCAAAAACUCACGACAACUCCAAAUUUCAAAACCAAAAAUUUAUAACCACCCCAAACAGGGUCUAACUUUUGUAGACUAAGUUCUGUAAAAUAGACUUCUAGAGUCUAGCCAGUAAGUCUAUGUGGAUUUGGGUCUGCAGCCUUAUCAGAGUCACCGGUAAUUAG